RNAcentral lists this ribosomal RNA (407 nucleotides) under uncultured bacterium. RNAcentral describes it as "bacterial SSU rRNA". It matches the Rfam family "Bacterial small subunit ribosomal RNA", at positions 354 to 777 of the family's 1533-position model. The record is from RNAcentral.
GUCGGGAAUAUUGCACAAUGGAGGAAACUCUGAUGCAGUGACGCCGCGUAUAGGAAGAAGAUUUUCGGAUUGUAAACUAUUGUCGACAGGGAAGAAAAAAGACAGUACCUGUGGAGGAAGCCCCGGCUAACUACGUGCCAGCAGCCGCGGUAAUACGUAGGGGGCAAGCGUUAUCCGGAUUUAUUGGGUGUAAAGGGUGCGUAGACGGGAUUUUAAGUCAGUUGUGAAAAUCCGAGGCUUAACUUCGGAAUUGCAACUGAAACUGGAAUUCUUGAGUACAGGAGGGGAAAGCGGAAUUCCUAGUGUAGCGGUGAAAUGCGUAGAUAUUAGGAAGAACACCGGUGGCGAAGGCGGCUUUCUGGACUGUAACUGACGUUGAGGCACGAAAGUGUGGGUAGCAAACAGGA